This 467-nucleotide ribosomal RNA is filed under the name uncultured bacterium. RNAcentral describes it as "partial 16S ribosomal RNA". It matches the Rfam family "Bacterial small subunit ribosomal RNA", at positions 29 to 507 of the family's 1533-position model. The record is from RNAcentral.
ACGAACGCUGGCGGCGUGCUUAACACAUGCAAGUCGAACGGAAAGGCCCUGCUUUUGUGGGGUGCUCGAGUGGCGAACGGGUGAGUAACACGUGAGUAACCUGCCCUUGACUUUGGGAUAACUUCAGGAAACUGGGGCUAAUACCGGAUAGGAGCUCCUGCUGCAUGGUGGGGGUUGGAAAGUUUCGGCGGUUGGGGAUGGACUCGCGGCUUAUCAGCUUGUUGGUGGGGUAGUGGCUUACCAAGGCUUUGACGGGUAGCCGGCCUGAGAGGGUGACCGGCCACAUUGGGACUGAGAUACGGCCCAGACUCCUACGGGAGGCAGCAGUGGGGAAUAUUGCACAAUGGGCGGAAGCCUGAUGCAGCAACGCCGCGUGCGGGAUGACGGCCUUCGGGUUGUAAACCGCUUUCGCUUGUGACGAAGCGUGAGUGACGGUAAUGGGUAAAGAAGCACCGGCUAACUACAUG